RNAcentral lists this ribosomal RNA (244 nucleotides) under uncultured Actinomycetales bacterium. Its description in RNAcentral is "partial 16S ribosomal RNA". It matches the Rfam family "Bacterial small subunit ribosomal RNA", at positions 101 to 334 of the family's 1533-position model. The record is from RNAcentral. Lineage: Bacteria; Bacillati; Actinomycetota; Actinomycetes; Actinomycetales.
UGCUCGAGUGGCAACGGGUGAGUAACACGUGAGUAACCUGCCCUUGACUUUGGGAUAACUUCAGGAAACUGGGGCUAAUACCGGAUAGGAGCUCCUGCUGCAUGGUGGGGGUUGGAAAGUUUCGGCGGUUGGGGAUGGACUCGCGGCUUAUCAGCUUGUUGGUGGGGUAGUGGCUUACCAAGGCUUUGACGGGUAGCCGGCCUGAGAGGGUGACCGGCCACAUUGGGACUGAGAUACGGCCCAG